CGUUGGAAACCAUCGUCACCCCCACAGGAUGGGGCCGCCCCUCUGACAGCGCCGGCGGUAUCUCCAACGUCCUUCGUCAGCGUGGAUG
This is a long non-coding RNA of Penaeus monodon (black tiger shrimp), 88 nucleotides long. RefSeq lists it as uncharacterized. NCBI's taxonomy places the organism in Eukaryota, Metazoa, Arthropoda, Malacostraca, Decapoda, Penaeidae. The transcript has 2 exons. The record is from RefSeq and is a predicted model, not a curated record.